Long non-coding RNA from Onychostoma macrolepis, 1118 nucleotides. RefSeq lists it as uncharacterized. The record is from RefSeq and is a predicted model, not a curated record. Lineage: Eukaryota; Metazoa; Chordata; Actinopteri; Cypriniformes; Cyprinidae. The transcript has 4 exons.
UUUUUUUUUUUUUUUUUUUUAAGAGAUUAAGAUAAGACUAGGUGAAGAUCUGACAUCGCAGAAUUCUUCAAGGAUAACACGCCUUUUCUGCCAAACGAGCACCCCCUGCAUUCUUAUCAUGGAUUGCUGUCAUUCAAGAAGUUAUCAUUUCCUCCCAUUGUGGCUGAGCUACACAUUCUCUUUGUUUUAUUUUAAACAUAAAAAAUCCAGAGGAGAUGGCACCUACGCUGGAAUCCAUACAAAUUCUUCGUAUGAAGAAAUCCUGAACGAGGGUCAAAGGUUGAGAUGAUGGGAACCUACGGUUCCAAGACUUUGAGAAUCCAUGUACAAUUUGAGCUUUUUUCAAAUCUCAACAUGGAACUUGGACUGAACAUGCAGAAAAAAGGGAAAAAAGUAGUUUCCACAAACUGGCACAUGGCAAGAGAUACUAAAAGCACACAAGUGUAGUUUAGUAUAGUUGUAUAGUAUAGUUUCAUAUUGAAAUGUGAGGCAUGAGUGCAUGAAUCUUUGUUUUUUUAUUUUCAAAUACUGUACAAGAAAGUAUUUUUUGCAGUACCAUGUCAAUUGUAGAUGCAGAUAAUUUAGCAUGAAUUAGAGGUUAGUAAUCUAACUUAAAGGGUUUGUUCACCCAAAAUGUUAUAUGAAAAAUCUUGUUUCAAUCCUGUUAGACUUUUGUUCAUUUUUGGAACACUAAUGAAGAUCCUUUUUAAUGAAAUCUGACAGCUAUACCUUAUUGGAACUUGAAAUGGUAGUUGUCAAUGGAGGGACAGAAAGCACAGAGAUUUCAUUAAAAAUACUCUUUGUUUGUGUUCCAAAGAUGAAUGAAAAUCUUAUGGAUUUGGAACGGUAUGAGGGUGAGUAACUGAUGACAGAAUUCACAUUUUUGGGUGAACUGUCCUUUUAAAUAAUAUUGUGUUCUACUAUAGGUUAAAUGGUGUAAACACUGGAACAUUUCACUUGACUAUUGACUGUAAGUCUAUAGCGAUUGUUAUUAAUGACAGCCCUGUCUUUGUAUUAAUUUUUUUUCCCCCAUGUAUUUGAAAAUAUUUUGAAUCUUGACUGUUUCGCAAUGAAGUUUAUCUUUGUGACAACUAUUUGGUGCAACACCAAUAUUGUAU